UAUCUAUCAAACAAGUAAUAAAAAGGAAUAAGAGCCUCAGAUAGACUGUCCAUGUCAGAUGGAAAAAUCACCCAAUGAGGGGUAUGAUAUUGCCACAUCGCCAUGACUGAAAUAGAGUGGAUUUUCAUAUUGGUUCUUUGAAAAUUAUCAAAUAGGCCCAUUCCAGCCAGUGUAGGAAAAAGACAAAAAAUCUGUAUUGUUUCACGCCUCAGUUUUUCUCCCGACUCUUCCACUUCAUCUUCUUUGAUGUCUGAAUUUUCUUUUGUGUAAUUUUCUUAAUCAAUGAUGAUCUUAAAACCUUUCUUUUGAAUGUUUUUUUCCACCUUCCAUUGAUCCGUCUCCUAUAUAAAGAUCUACGUCUAAACCUAAAUCACCCUAAAUCAAAACCUACUCGAAGCUACAUCAAUGGUCAUGAAUGAGGGGGUAAGAGCGACUGAAGUACAAUCGCAUAGUUUGUUUGCCGAAACCAAAAAGGUAAAUGGAACGUAGAUUACUCAUCUCAUAUUGGAAUCUAAUAAUAUGAAAUUGUCCCUUUCAUUUAGUUUUUCCCUUUCAGUUUCAUUGUGCGAAGAGGUAGAGAUUGAAACAACAUUUCGAGAGGUAUGUCGUUCUCCUUUCAUUUAUUCUAUGUUUUUGUUUACCACUCACACACCUUUCUAAAUCUAAGAGCCAUGUGACAGAAACCAUUUAAACCAAUGAGCAGAGCCACAUGAGAACACCACUGCUGAAAUUGCAAGAGCUAAUGACAAGUCUGGAGAAUUAACAUAGAUUUUUUUAUGUUGAAUAAUUUGACCCAAAAGAGCCGCAUAUACUGAUAAUUUUUGAACAUCACAAAAUCCCUGUUGCUUCCUUUUUUAUUUUCUUGGCUUAUCUUCCUUCCUGGGAAAAAUAAAGUUAUUGUGUUUCCAUAUUGUUUUUCAUGCUUUGCAAAUAGUCAAUAAGGAGAGAAAAUUUUAUACAACAGUUCCUAAAAAAUUGCUUUGAUUGAGUUUCAUAUGUGAAGUCAUGGCUCAUGGGCAGUGGAUGUUUCAUAACUAACAGACAAGGGUUAUAUUCCUUGCUGGAACAAUUCGUGUAUAGUGAGGAAGCAUACCAAUAAUGAGCAAGUAAUAUGCUUUUCUACACCUUCGUUUUAGUACUUUUAUGAAAGGUGCUUUACUUUUACAUUUCAUAACAAAAACUAAGACAACUAAAUCCAUAUAUAACCAAAAUAAUCUGAAAUAGACAGAUGGACACUGAAGUUUUGAAGGAAUCUUGAGUGUCUGACCUGGUUCCAUGAGUUUGUUAGGGGAUAAGGCUGCGGAAAUUGCUUGCCGAGUCAUUCUUUCUGCUAAAAAACGGAGCAAGAAGGCGAGUGAUUGUCUUAAGGUUUUGGAUUCAGAUUCAUGGUGGCUAAAGAGUCAUUUCGUAGAAUAUGAAGUUGUUGUUGAUUCAAAAGGCAAUGUUGUUUACGAGGUAAAUAUUGGAAAGUUGUCAAAUUUUCUUUGACACUUACACUCUCCUGCUUUGCAUGAUUAUCUCAGUGUUUGGUAAUUGAAAUGUGACUGCUUAUUAGAUUUUAGUCGUGUCCAUGUUGGCGCCUUGGUCAUACAGAAGAGCAUAUGUAAUUGAGCUCCAGUGUCACAGUAGCAAAGUUUGUUUGUAUUGUGUUUUGAGGACAUGUGUUGAUGUUGGAGCAAUAUUAGUGGAACCAUGUCAGAAACUGAAGAUUUGUUCAGUAAGUUUUACCUCCAUCUUUGUAUUACAGAUGUCUUGGUUAUUUUAUGUGUUUAAGAGUUUAUCGGUGAGCUUUGGCUAUAGCCUAUAGAUUCUGAAUCUUCUUUUACAUUCUGGCUGGAUAUGCGGUGCAUGUUCCAGGAGAGUUUAGACUUCGUGUGUGUUUUGAAUGGGUGUUUAGACCUUAUGCAAGCUGAGAAUGUUGAAAAACUUAUUUCAGCCAAGUCUUCUUCUCCUGCAGAUGCUGCUUUGGAAGGGAUUCCCGCAUCCCUUUGCCCACCUUUUAAAGUAUAACUUAAACUUACUCAAAAUCCAUAUGUAUCUCCAUCUCAGUAUCAAUAAAUUCUUGCAUGCCAGCCUGAGCCAGUGAUGCCCACUUUGAAACUUCCUCAAGAAGAAUCAUCCGAAAAUUUUAACACUCUAUGGCUAUGUUAAAGUUCAAUUGGAAGGUCUUCAUUCUUUUUAAAGAUUGUAUCAACAUUUUAUUCUAUUUUACAAGCAAUAAUUGUCGAUCUUUUUCUUUUGUAAAUAUUCCGAUAUAUGACAUUAAGAACAUUCCUCCUUGAUUAUAUUUUCUGAUGUUAUGUUCGAAAUGGCCACUGUCCAGGUAUAUUUAAAAAGGUGACUAUACAAAAAGGUUACUUCUAUGUUACCAGAUUUCUUCUAUGUCAAUCUAGGAAGAACUUGAGAAAACUGACAUGCACUGGGAAGAAGUAGUAGCAGAUUCGCGUUGCAACACUGACUGGCAUUAAUAUGUGGACAUUGACUUAUCGAAAGAUCCCAAAGGGUAAUCAAUCCAUCUGUAAUCCCUUUUUAGUUUAUGUGCACCUAAUGUUUUAAAAACAAAUCGCAUAAUGAGCUCCAAAUAGGGGGUUCUGUGUGACAAUGAUUCAAACCAUUUAAUUUCUACUUUCUGUGUUUUUUAUGACAAAUAAUUUUAUUUUAAUAUAGAUGAAUUAAAUACAUAUUUACAACAUAUUUAAUAGCCAGAAACAGUUUAAAUUAUUAUUAUUUAAUUUCAAUGAAUCUCAGAGUUUUCCUGAAACCCUAAAUAAAUAAAAUAAAGAAUAUUUGAAUUGUAAAUAAGGCUCACUUAUUAUUUAUAGUUUUCUCAAUACAAGAAGUUAAAUUUGAUUAAUGAUUUAUAUUUUAUAAUCAGUCAAAGCAUAUAUAACAUAUAUAUUCAAAUACCAAAUUAUAAUGAUUUAAUUUAAAUUAUGACGUAAAGAAGAAAAUCCGGGCGUAGCCCGGGACAAGCCCUAGUCUAUCCUAUACUAAAAGGGAGAUAUGCUCAAUAGAGAGGGUGUCCACGUCAGCCAAUUAAAUCAACCAAUAAGAAAAGAGUAAACUACCACGUCAUACACCUUGGUCGACUGAAGAUGUUAUUGCGCAUUCCGUUUGGGCUGUAACUACAAAAGCUGAAAUUCAAUAUAUUUUUUUCUACGGCCCAAUAUCAAGCCCGUUUUUGCCUAACCCUAAUCUCCACUCGAGAGUUGGGACUCCACAACUUUUCCACUUCGUCUUCCCCAGUUCUUAUGUAACUCCGUUACACCGUUACCGCCAGCUCCUCUUCAUCAAUCAACGAUGUCUUUAACCUCUUCAUUAUUGUUUCAUUCUAUCUCCUUCUCUUUCUCCUCAUAUAUAAAUUGGUGCCAAAUCUUCAUCGAUACUUUUUUUUUUGACAAAACUUCAUCGAUACUUACUUCAAUGUAAAUAGUUCAAUGCAUAAAAUCUCAAAUGAAAACAACCUGGCAAACAAUUUCUUUCUCUUUUAGAGUUUUGGUUUCUCUUUAUAUUAUUUUUAAUCAUUCUUUUAAAGUAACUCUACAAAGAGCGGCCUGUCCAUGAAUGAAUAUUUUAUGCUUUUGUUGAUCAUCAAAGUGUAGCAUAGUCGCGAUGGGAUUUGUUGUCUACAUUGUGAAUAAGUGUUUUUAUUUCAAGUGGUGAUUAAAUAUUACUGUUUUUUUUCUGCCAUAUUUAACUUAUAUUCUUUUUGAACAACGGUGUAGAUGUUACACGAAGCUGGUCAGUGGACAGUCUCUAAUUGACCACCCCAUCCUCGACGAAGUGAAGAUAGCAAGAACCCGGCAUGUUAUGGGUCAUCUGCAAUCACAAGAUUAUGGGGCUGUUAUGAAGCUGUACCUUUGGGACCAGUCUGCAACAGAGUUCUGCAAGAAAUUUACAGCAUAUGUAAAUUAGUCACUACAGCGAACACAAAAUGUCUUGGAGAGUUUAUCCCCAAGUGUUACUUCAGAUAUCCCCUGAAUUUGGAAUACCAGGGGGAUUUGGUGUUGCAGUUGGAUUUUCCCGCUUCCGUUCUUUGAGUUACAAAUACUUGAAGUUGAGUAGCGGCAUGAGCUAGAGCAGAGUGAUAUGUGACCACAUAAAUUUUCUUAUACAUCUGGAAAACUAACAUGGUGACCCGAGGAAGAAGUGAGCCCAGAAGAGAAAAUUAAAGAUAUGCGAUACAAACCUGAAGUUUUGGUUGUGGCCAUCGUUCAACCCAUGAUUGCCAGGGCCAUCCACGAGUCCAUCAGAGAGAUGCAUGGUAGGGACUUUGGUGAUCGGGUCAUUUCAGUUAGGAGCUGAAAUGUGAAUGUGUUGCAAACACCUAAAAGUUGAGGAUUCGUGAUAGUGUUGUCCACAUGUUCUGUGUUUGAAAAUUGAAGAUGGAAGAACCCAUUGGGUUGCUGUUGAUUUUCUUUGUUGCCUCUUUUUAGAGAAAUCUGUUGUACAAUAUGCAGUUUUACAUUCGUUGUUUUGUGUUUCUUAGUGCUUCUAUGAAGAUCUCCCAAUAAAAAUAUCUCCUAUUUGUUUGUCCAUUGUUUUACAUGCUUGAAGUCAUGUAAUUAUCAUUUGAGAAACAAUUAACUUUAAUUUUGCACAUAAUUACAUCUUAUCUUACUCGCUUUAAAAGAUUUAUCUUUGUUAAUAUUUUCAAUAAAUUCAUAAUCAAUCUUCUGUAAAUCUUUCACAAAGCAAUAUAAAAGAUUAGUUCUUUGAAAAGUCUGACAAAGAAUGCUCUACUGCUAAAGUCAAAACUCAAUUCCCAAGCAGACAGCCAAAACUCUUUAAAUCAAUACUGUUAGAAUAGUAAUAUUUCAUUAUUAGAUAUUUAUUUAUUUAUUAUUUUGUUGUCAAAAAAAAAGAUAUUUAUUUAUUUAUUUUAAAAAUUAAGCUUUUUUUUAUUUCUAAAUAUUUUUUGUAAAAUAAGUAUGAUAAUUUCAUCCAUAGCUUUAGUUAUUAAUCAAACUUUAUAGAUUCAGUUUUUAUCUUAUUUUAAUGUUGGUGUAAUGGAAUAUUUAGAUAUGUUCAGAUGUAACACUAAACUACUAAAUUAAAAAUAAUAAAACUACAUUAAAUUAAAAAUAAUUAGAAAUAGACGUCAUUUAGAAGAUAACUAACAUACGAAUUUUGAUAUUUCUAGAAAUUUUAAAUUUGUAACUGCUAAUUUAUUAAUAGAAUCAUAUAUCUAUAUUGGAUUAUGUUCUAUUUUUAAUCGUUAGACUUUAAAGGUAAAUAAAUUAUUAAUUUAUAAUAUAUAUUUUAUAACUUUAUAUUGUAGUUAUAAAUAAAUAGAAAAUAACCGGAGAGGGUGAAGAAGCUCAUGUAAAAUUAUGUAAUUAAAAUGGUAAAAUGGUGGGUAUGAUGAGGUGAAUCUAAGAGAAUUUGUUGUAGAAAUUAUGGUGUUUUCUUCGUCCACUAAAAUGAUCUAAAGUAAAAGAUAUAUUCACAUAAAUAAGUUAAUAUUUGUUGUUGAUGGAAGAAGUGUUUAUAUUCUUUUCUCACAGCAGUAUCUAUAUUUUAGUAAAGAUGGCCAAAAUUCUUCUUUUUCAAUUAGCCUCACCAAUUGAAAGCAGUUCGAUUCAAAAUGCAUAGAUGUGAAUCUUAUAUGAAUAGAGUUCUCCCAUUGCCCGUAGCAGUGUAAUAAACUCCCUGUGUAAAGGAAAAGAAAUGCUAUAUAAGUGAAAUAUUUUUUUCUGAUUAUUUUUCCUUGUGCCUACUCGGCUCUUCGCAAUUUGAAAAAGAAAGAACAUAUGUGUGAACAUCUUUAGCUCGGUCAAAUUUUAUCCAGUUGUUUAUAAAACUAAUGUUAUCUCAUUGAUGUAAUUUUUCAAUGUUGAUUUUAAAGUCCAACAACUCAUCUUUUUUUUUUUUUAACUCAACAUUCAUAUUAAUAUUAAUCAAAAAGUUUGAUUACACCAUAGGCUUAUCAGCCUCAACAUAAGUUUUAAUCCAAGAAGGCAUAGUAGAAAACAAAACAGAGGAGUUACUCUCGAAGUUAGAAGCCUCUUUUGCUAUAAUUGAGGAGUUAGUCCAACAACUCAUCUAUACUGACUUUUUGAUAUUUAUUUUUUCUUUUCUGAUUUGAAUUUAAAAAGAGAUAAAACUUCUCUAAGAUAUGUAAACUGGGAAAAAACCUUUAGAAGGCAUUUACAUAAUUCAGACUUAUAAUAUAUACAUAUAAAACAUGUGUAAAAUGUGCCUGAAUAUCUUUUUUUUAAUGCGUUAAGAGAUCAUACUAUAUAUAUAAUAUUAUUUUAAAAUUUCAAAAAGUUUGUAGCACAUGCACAAAACCACCAAUAAAAAUAUAAAUCUCCAUCUACAACAAGAAAAAUAAAAAAUUAUAAACAUAAUGUUAAUAUAAAUUAAGUAAAACUAACAUUGGAAAACAAGAAGUUAAUGGAAAAAUAAACAGACAAAUAAUAUUAUAAAUAAAAUAAAUUUGCAAGACACAAUCCGCGCGAAGCGCAGAAAAAAAUCUCUAGUUAUUAUAAAGAAGAGCUACUCUCUUCUCCUAAACCCUCCACAUCAUUAAUUGAGUUCAUAAGGUAAUGACACGUGUCUAAUCUUUUGUUAAUGAACUUAUUGAUAAACUGGCCUUCGUACAAAUCAAUUAAUCAGGUGUGUUCAGAGGUUAUGUCUAGUGGGCUUUUAAUAUAAUAUUUAGGUAUAAUAGGAUCUGUUAAGUAGGUGCUAAGUGGAUCCUAGAAUUAUUAUCUUCAUCUUCAACGCUUUGUCUUCCGAUCCUCUGAUGCACUGCCGACAAUGUCGAAAUGCAUAUCUUCACAAUUACUUUGGAAAACAGGAGCCGUUAUGGAUCCCUUCUGCAUUCAAUAAUUGCCAUUAACGUCCCAAUUGAGUCUAUCUCCCCACUCUUUCCACAAUAUCACAUUCAUUGCAUCUCCCUUUUCCUUCAAGCAUGUGAAUCUUGAGCUAUAAAUAGGUUAGUUUGUACCCGUGAAUUUCUUCAUUUCUUUCCUCACAGUCAUAUUGACACGAAAGCCUUUCACAAAAUUCAAUGGAAAACUCCUCUCCUUCUUGCUGACUUCAAAGCCGGUCGAUGUAGCACAACCAUCAAAGUGCGGCGACCUCAUCAGUCUCUUCGAGGCUCAAUAUCUGGGAGAUUGGGACAUUUGUGGGACUCAACUGUCGAAGUGUGGCGACCUCAUCAGUCUCUCCGCUUGCUUUCUCCAUCGAAUUUAACCAUAUGUUCUUGCUAAUACUACUCACCGAAUCAUCAACAGGUGCAUCAGAGGAUGGGUCCACCAAUCGUUGUCUCACUGAUAUCGUCUUUGGUCCUCUCAGAUAUUUUUUACAACUUUCCUAAAGAUUUAGAGAGAUCUCAAAACGUCGACAGCCAUGGCGACCACCAAAGUCCAGAGGAUUAUGACCCAGCCAAUCCUAUGUAACUGAGUUUUAGGGGUUUUCAAAGUGCACAAAGUUUGAGUCCAUAUUUGGCUUUUAUGAGCGGAAAGAUUUGAAGACUGAAAAAAUAAUUAAUAAAAGGUGGCAAGAUGGAACAAGGUGGCUGAGAAGUAUACUUUCGUCCUGGACCUGGAUGAUAGAUUUGGAUAUGUAUAUAUGCCCAGCUUAGGCCACAAAAACUCCUCACAUGAAGUAAACAUACAUGAUCGUGACACAAUCGCAUAUACUGGUAUCAUUGGUCUAAUGGAUCAGUGGAAGUUAGAUUGGGAUGAUCGUGACCACGAACAUACAAUGGUCGAUUAGUGUUUUCUUUCUCUAUUUGGUUGACUACUUAAUGGCUAAGAUUAAGGAUUUCCAAAGAGCUUACUUUGUAUCUAUAGAAAACUCUGGCCACAUCACCUGUUAGAAACUCAAGGGCCAUUUACCACUACAAUGGAGACCACAUUAUUUUAAUACAUAUUUCAUUAUAAAUAUGUCAUAACUUCGGUUAUUGUGUGACCUGCAAGAUAAAAUCAUCAAGAACUUCAUUAAUAUAAAGACAAACGCAAAAUUCCUCACACGUCAAAUUUCCACUUUAAUUUUUGAAACUAAAAUAUUCACGGCCGCACACAGUCAAAUUUUAAAAGUCCAAACAAAACAACUACUAACGCUCGAUAUCAUCUCGAUUGUCCUAUCUCUAAAAAAAUUGUACACCAAUUUUCACGAUCUGCAGCAAAUAGUUAAAACAUUGACUAAUCCCAACAUAUGAUGCAAACAAAAGCACUAAAUGACAAUCAUCCGAUAAUUCAUUUCAAUAAUGUUGUGAAAAGACGCGAAUCAACUUUGAAGAAAACAAUAGAAAAAUCAAAAUGAAUUGAAGCAAAUACCCGUUUAGGAUUUCUUAUUAUUAUGUGAAUGUAUAAUCUUAAAAACUCUUAGACCCAUAUUUAUAACAGCCUUAAAACCCGAUUUCCUUUUCUCUAUAGGAAUACAUACUUAUCUAGAAAAAAUAAUUUUCUAAACCGAAAAGAUAUACUGAAUGAUGGGCUUUAACUGUGCACAUAAAUUAGCAUUUAACUGUGCAUAUAAAUUUAAGACACAUCCGAUGCAACAAAUAACUUUCACAAACUCCCUACGGCAACGUUACAUUAGCAUUUCGAGGGUAUAUAAUAACAAACACACACUAUUACAUUCCAAUCGACAUUUCUCAUCCACAAACUAACAUUGAAAAUGAAUACGAUUAAGUUACUAACCAAAUGACAAAUAUUACGCGCAUAGCACAGACCAAUCCUAGAUUAUACUAGUAUAUUUUUUAAAAGAUUAUAUUAUCUAUAUAUUAAAUAAACAUACAAAAUAUAUAAUCAAAAUUUAAACAAAAAACCUGGGGUAGCCCGGGCCAACCCUAGUAUUAUUAUAAAAGUGUUUACUCUCUCAUGGAUGCGCCAGGUCAAAAAGUCGCUCAUCCUCAACUCACUGUUUCAUUUAAAGAUAGACAGAAAAAAAUUUGGGCUUUGUGUUAAUCUUCACAAUUAAAGCCCAAAACUGAGCGGUCUUUUAGUCUUCAUCCCUUUCACGGCGUGUUUUUCUUCGAUAAACGAUACCUAAAAAAGUUUCUUCAACGAUCUCCCACACCUUCAAUGGUGUUUCUAGGGAUUUGGAUGAAGAAAUCAAGAUGAAGAAUCUCUUUGUUAAUCUCCACUCUCGUCCUUUAGUCUUCUAAUCUACUCAACAGAAGCCGUCGGAGUUACAGAUCCAGCGUCAUUAUCGUCUUCUUAAUUUCAUAUGCUGUGCUACCUAAAGCACGAUCUGAAAAUGAUUGUAAGUUAUCCCUCUUCAUGGCGGUGUUCUUCCACCUAUAAAAAGGGUAAGCCAACUGAUGAAUCCAUAUUUAUAAUAUUCUAUUUGGAACCGAUAUAGUUUAUAGGGGAAUUGUAUGUUCAUUAACACUUUCGUUCAUGCUGCUGCGCAAGAAUUUGCGUACACCUGCAUCUGUAACUUUUAGAAGCUACCACAUAUAGGUAUUUAGAACAUAUGUGAAGACGACCGAGAGACUUGCAUCAACAGCUUCGUGGUUAGACAAGUCUGGAGACCGCAAAAAGGCUUACCGGAAAAGUAUAGGGCUGUUCGUUUCAUAGGCGUCCAAAAAUUCAACCUUUAUCACAGCAAUACAAACCACCGGUGAAAUAUCGCUGACCUAUUUUUAGUCGCAGCGGCAACAAACAUCAAGGAGAAGGGACGCUAGAAUUAUGUGCAACACAAGCGUCUCGUUUUUGUGUAUCCGACAAUUCAGUAGCAUCUACCGCAACUUUUGAUUUUGCUAUUUUGGUCUCCGUCGUAGUCUAAUUUAUGGCCGCUGCCUCUAAACUCUGUGUUUAUGAAAAGAACAACCUUUAUGUCUAUAUAUUCUGCGCUUGACUCUUUGAGCAUUUACUUCAUUCGUAAGUGUUGAUCAAGAGACAUCAUUCUUGCUUUUCGUUACUUGAUUAAUAACCAUCUCAAUAUAUUUCCAGAUAUUCAAAGGAACUAGAGAAAAUCAGGCUUGCGAAGCAGACAUGACUAGAAAAAAGGUAAUACAAGAAGGAUAGAUGAAACUUUUGUUGUUGUCACUUUGAUUUAAGUGGUUUCUGGUUCAUGACAAACUUCAAGUUGUGAUUUGGUUUUGUUAAUAAGAGACUUUGCUGUAUGAACCAAUGAUUGAAGCGAUGUAAGAAGAAUAGUUUGGUGAUGCAAUAUAGCAUAAACCAAUAUCAGGAUAUCUUCAACAGCUUUCUUGCUGAGUUUUAUGCGCUCUCUGAUACUAUAAGCCCUUAUUUCACGAGAAAAGCAAAAAAUAUUAGACAGUUUCUCAAAGUGAAUGUUGUAUGCUAAUGUUGGACGUGAACUGCCGUGAUUUACUUCACGAGAUAUGUAACAUAUUUUACCAUGUGGUAAGUGUGAGAGGAAAACAUUUAUUUAUAGUAACAGUAUGGAGAAGUAGAUUUCUCAUCUAUACUUUCAAAAACCACAAAAAAUCUUAAAUAUAAAUCUUUAAGCACUGCUGCUGUUGUACAAAGAUAAUUUUGUUAAUAUCUUAAGGGAGUUGAAUUUAAACCUUAUAAUUCUCUUAAUUCACAUAUUAUGAGAAAUUAGAAAAAAAUUCUCCAAGUUCCAACAAAUAUGUUCUCCAGGUUUGAUUUAAGAUCAAAAAAAUUAAUUAACUGCUUACGAUUUCACAUUAAAAAAAUUCAAACUUGCAAAUGUUUAUCCUCCACCUUAUCACUUUGGCAUAUCAGGAUUGAGCUUCUUUGGACCCAAACAAAAGUUGAUUUAUGUAAAAAGGAAACUUCUGCUUCUUUUAAUAUAAUGCUAUUAUAUGCCAAAAAAGUUAUAAAAACAAAAGAGUGUAGAAGAUAAUAAUUAACAGUGAAAAAAGUAACACUUCUGUGAAUUAUUGAAUUACCUCAGCUCCGUAUGUGUUAUAUACGUUUGAAUUUGAUGCGUAACUUAGCUAUUGGUUGGCACGCAAGCGUAAUAUAAUUUAUCAGUGGUCAUAUUUACUAUUUAAUUAAAUAGUUUGAAGAGUUUUUUAUUGUUUCACUGUUUAUGUUAUUUUCAAAAUCCAAUAUAAAAAGUAAAUCAAUUAAAACAAAAUUGAAAAACAAAUUUAGAAUAUAGUUUAGAGAAAUUCGAAAGUAUAGCUUUUUUAAUUUAUAUUCACAAAAAUAGCCCUCAAAGAGGAAAAUGAUCAAAAUAAAUUUUAUUAAAAGGUAAAAAUAUAUUUUUACAAUAGGAUUAACUAAUAUAGAUUUAGGCAUUUGAGUUAAGGAGUGAGGUUUUGAGGAUAUGAUUUCAAAUUAAAAAAUAAAAAUAAAAAUUUCAAUAUAAAAUGGUCUAUUUUGGUCAUUUUCUCCUUGAGAACUAUAUUUGUGGUAACUUAAAAAUGUCGAUUUGAGAUAAUUUUCCUAUAAUUUAUCAUUGGUCAAUUUUACUAUUUAAUUAAAUUCUUAAUAUAUAAAGAUAUUUUUCUUAAUAUUUAUAUUUUUAACCCAAAAAACUUAUAAUUUGAAACAAAAUAAAUAUUAAACAUGAUAAUAGAUUUUUAGCCUACAAUUUACUCUUACAUCUCAAUCACAACUUAGAAAAUACUAAUAAAUUCUCACACACACACACACAUAUAUAUAAAUAUAUAUAAUCAAUUAUAAUAAAUAUAAAAUGCACCCCAUAAGUUAUUAUAUGGUAAUAACUUCCAGUACAACAACAUGAAUACUCAAAAAGAAAUGAUGUAAUGCCACCCCAAGCAAAAAAAAAACAUAACUAAUUAUCAACAUAGCAUGAUUUAUUUAGUGGGGCUUAUUGAAUUAGGGAUUUCAGAAAAUUUUGGGGUUUUGCCAAAUCUUCCCUUAUUGGAUUAGGUAUUUAUAAAAGGUUUUACAAAUCCUUCCUUAUUGGAUAUAGCAUUUAUAGAAGUUCUACUAAAUCAUCCCUUAUUAGAAAAUAUGGAUUUCAUCAAUGAGAUUCAUCAAAAGUGAUUUUGGAUUAAUAAAAACUAUCAUUUACUCUUUAAAUCCAAUAGAGAAGAAUAUAAGAGAUGGAAUUUAAGGAAAAAAAAAACGUAUCAGAGAGAAAUCUCUCUUUUUUUAAAAGAGAAAUUUGGCAGAUUGGGUAAAUUUUAAGUUUGUAAUUGGCUUGUUGGGCAACUUUGAGUUUGAAUUGAAAAAUUGGGUAAAUCUGCUUUUCGGUCUAUGUGAAAUGUCAACCAAGGAUUGUCAUUAUUGUUCUAUUUACAGGUUUGACAUUACUCUUUAAAAAAGGAAAAAAAUUACAAAAAUGUGAACAAAACAAAAAUUCAAAAAAUGUGAAUGACAAAAGGGAAAUUUUCCCAAAGAAACUUGCCUCUAAUGUGGCCAAUUAACACAUAGAUGGAAAUCAUUUUGUCGAAAUUCUAAAGAACCCCAAUUAAGAACAAUUACGUGUUGUGAAACCCAGUUUGAACGUGAAAGGGGUUUUCGAUUUGCAGUUCGAACGUUAUGAAUCAGAAAGUCUUUCGGGUAUCGACCUUCAAGUUUGCCACAUGGUUUCUCAAUUGCGUAGUCAGGCGGCGGUGAGAAGGGUCACUCGCAGUCAAUCCGCCGGACCAAAACCUGAAAGAAAGGGUAAAAGUAGAGAAACCACUAAUCAGACGCCACGUUACGCAGGUAUAAGCUUCGCUUCGAAGCAAUUUGCCUUUCUCGUUAGAUACCUUUAUAGAUUAUAGGUUUAGUUUGGAACCCGCUGAGUCCCGAAUUGCUUUCUUUUCCGAAAAGUUUUUUUGAUUCCAUUGCUGAAUACUUCACAGAACCAGAAAACUCAUAUCAGGAAAAGUCGACAUCGACCUCCGGAGCAGAGUUUAUUGAAACGAUGCAUUCACCUCCGCCUCAGCUUCCAGUAAGACUGUUCGCACGGAACUGCUAUCCAAAUAAACCUCAUCUGAACAUUUAUUCAAAGGCAACAGCCAUUAGCUCGAUAGUGAAGUCGCUGAAAGGAACGCCAGAACUGGAGAAACUGCUUGGAAGUCAGUUUGGUUCUUUGUUCGGCUUACCAGUCGUGCGGUGUUUAAACUCUGCGAAACUCGUACACUCCCACGUUAGCCGUCAACUUGUAACGUUGAAGGAGAAAAAAGAGUGUUCAUUGGAUGAGAGAUGAAAGUGGAUGUAUUUUGGGUUUGGGAAUGAAGAAAAAAGAUGAGUAGAACUUGAUACUACUUAAGAAAGGGUAGAAUGAUGAGAACAAGGCAUUGUAUGUAUGAAUUGCUUCUUUUCUUAGAUAAAUUUUGCAUAAUGAUCUUGCUCUUAUUUUUGCCUAGGCUAGGCUGGUCACCCGUCAAGGCUCCACGAGACCCUUCUUCGAUAGUUCGACCCUCCCGUCUCCGUCGGCGAAGGGCGAUUGUAAUAAC
Brassica napus (rape) is the source of this 13315-nucleotide long non-coding RNA. RefSeq lists it as uncharacterized. The transcript is spliced from 7 exons. The record is from RefSeq and is a predicted model, not a curated record. NCBI's taxonomy places the organism in Eukaryota, Viridiplantae, Streptophyta, Magnoliopsida, Brassicales, Brassicaceae.